UACGUAGGGUCCGAGCGUUGUCCGGAAUUACUGGGCGUAAAGAGCUCGUAGGCGGUUUGUCGCGUCUGCCGUGAAAGUCCGGGGCUCAACUCCGGAUCUGCGGUGGGUACGGGCAGACUAGAGUGAUGUAGGGGAGACUGGAAUUCCUGGUGUAGCGGUGAAAUGCGCAGAUAUCAGGAGGAACACCGAUGGCGAAGGCAGGUCUCUGGGCAUUAACUGACGCUGGAGGAGCGAAAGCAUGGGGAGCGAACAGG
This 254-nucleotide ribosomal RNA is filed under the name uncultured bacterium. Its description in RNAcentral is "partial 16S ribosomal RNA". It matches the Rfam family "Bacterial small subunit ribosomal RNA", at positions 524 to 776 of the family's 1533-position model. The record is from RNAcentral.